CGCGUAGGCGGCCGAGCAAGUCAGUAGUGGAAGUCCAUUUUUCAAGGGUGGAAGUGCUAUUGAAACUGCAUGGCUUGAGUGCAGGAGAGGUUAUCGGAAUUCCCGGUGUAGCGGUGAAAUGCGUAGAGAUCGGGAGGAACACCAGUGGCGAAGGCGGGUAACUGGACUGCAACUGACGCUGAGGCGCGAAAGUGUGGGGAGCAAACA
Molecule: ribosomal RNA, 207 nt
Filed under: uncultured bacterium
Lineage: Bacteria
Description: partial 16S ribosomal RNA
Rfam family: Bacterial small subunit ribosomal RNA
Source: RNAcentral